UCAUUUUUCCGGAAGGAUAUUUCUAUUUAUGAAGACUAAAAUGACUGAUAAUCUCUUAUCUUCCCAGAUGGAUUACGCUGGAUCUGGUUUGGAUAAAUGAACGCGGGGUAGCUGACUUGGCGGGGCCGAUUGUUUUGGGUGCAUCACCGCCACUGAGAGGGUUGAUGGAGAAAGGGAAUCAUUGCCGGCGGUGACAGAAAAUCAGUGCUCCCGUCAAUAUUUGGAAUACGGAAAGCCAGGCGUGAGGGGGUCCGAGGCAGCAACGUCGCCGUAGGCUGAGGCUUGGAGGAGAAGAGGGAAUCGGCGCCGGAGGCGACAGCGGUGACAGUGACUGUGCAAGAAUUUCAAGAUACUGCCUCAGAUAUUUCCUGAGCUUCUAUUAGCUGAACCGUUUACUCACUGAAGUAGCCAGUAUGGAGAUUCCUUAUCUAAAUCGCCUGGCCCAGCAUUCCUCUUGGACAAGAGUAUACACUAGCAAGAGGAAUCAACCUCAUCAUAUUGCAAGGGUUUUCUUUUGCCAAGCGAAGAAUGAUCGGUCAUUAAAAUCGUGCCUCCAACCCUAUUAGCAGCAGAAAAGGAAGAAGCAAAGGCGUUAUUAACCUUGUUUUUGAAGAAACAAGGCUUGAGUAAUGCAGUUGCAGCAAGAACCAUCAAUAAGUCAGAUGUUUUUGUCGAUCACCUUGUAUCGAAGAUUCACUCUAAACAUAAAUCUCGGUACCUAGUAGGAAGAGAACUUACAACUCUUGAGAUUAGAGAUGCCUUGAUUCCUUAUCUUGAAUCCCUUUUUGAAGAAUAUGGAGACAUUUUGAUGGAUU
This is a long non-coding RNA of Neltuma alba, 815 nucleotides long. RefSeq lists it as uncharacterized. The transcript is spliced from 4 exons. Lineage: Eukaryota; Viridiplantae; Streptophyta; Magnoliopsida; Fabales; Fabaceae. The record is from RefSeq and is a predicted model, not a curated record.